Molecule: ribosomal RNA, 405 nt
Filed under: uncultured bacterium
Lineage: Bacteria
Description: partial 16S ribosomal RNA
Rfam family: Bacterial small subunit ribosomal RNA
Source: RNAcentral
GACGAACGCUGGCGGCGUGCUUAACACAUGCACGUCGAGCGGAGCGGCGAACGGGUGAGUAACGCGUGAGUAACUGCCCCCCUGUUUGGGAUAACAGUUGGAAACGGCUGCUAAUACCGGAUCGUGGGGGAUGACUCGCGUCCUAUCAGCUUGUUGGUGGGGUCGUGGCCUACCAAGGCGAUGACGGGUAGCCGGCCUGAGAGGGCGACCGGCGAAAUUGGGCGGAGAUACGGGCCAAACUCGUACGGGAGGCAGCAGUGGGGAAUAUUGCACAAUGGGGGAAACGCUGAUGCAGCAACGCCGCGUGCGGGAUGACGGCCUUCGGGUUGUAAACCGCUUUCAGCCAUGACGCGGUAGUGGCAGAAAAAGGAACGGCUAACUACGUGCCAGCCGCGGCGGUAAUAC